RNAcentral lists this transfer RNA (56 nucleotides) under Enterobacter cloacae. RNAcentral's name for it is "tRNA-Gly". It matches the Rfam family "tRNA", at positions 8 to 61 of the family's 71-position model. Rfam says of the family: Transfer RNA (tRNA) molecules are approximately 80 nucleotides in length. Their secondary structure includes four short double-helical elements and three loops (D, anti-codon, and T loops). Further hydrogen bonds mediate the characteristic L-shaped molecular structure. tRNAs have two regions of fundamental functional importance: the anti-codon, which is responsible for specific mRNA codon recognition, and the 3' end, to which the tRNAs corresponding amino acid is attached (by aminoacyl-tRNA synthetases). tRNAs cope with the degeneracy of the genetic code in two manners: having more than one tRNA (with a specific anti-codon) for a particular amino acid; and 'wobble' base-pairing, i.e. permitting non-standard base-pairing at the 3rd anti-codon position. The record is from RNAcentral. RNAcentral also lists the same sequence under 37 other names. Lineage: Bacteria; Pseudomonadati; Pseudomonadota; Gammaproteobacteria; Enterobacterales; Enterobacteriaceae.
UAGCUCAGUUGGUAGAGCACGACCUUGCCAAGGUCGGGGUCGCGAGUUCGAGUCUC